GAAAUGCGAUAAGAAAUGUGAAUUGCAGAAUUCAGUGAAUCAUCGAAUCUUUGAACGCACAUUGCGCCCCCUGGUAUUCCGGGGGGCAUGCCUGUUCGAGCGUCAUUUCACCACUCCAGCCUCGCUUGGUAUUGGGCGACGCGGUCCGCCGCGCGCCUCAAAUCGACCGGCUGGGUCUUUCGUCCCCUCAGCGUUGUGGAAACUAUUCGCUAAAGGGUGCCGCGGGAGGCCACGCCGUAAAACAACCCCAUUUCUAAGGUUGACCUCGGAUCAGGUAGGGAUACCCGCUGAACUUAAGC
Molecule: unclassified non-coding RNA, 299 nt
Filed under: plant metagenome
Description: partial contains 5.8S ribosomal RNA, internal transcribed spacer 2, and large subunit ribosomal RNA
Rfam family: 5.8S ribosomal RNA (bases 1-105)
Source: RNAcentral